UGCAGAGGUCCCAAGCGUUGUUCGGAUUCACUGGGCGUAAAGGGUGCGUAGGCGGUCGGGUAAGUCUGAUGUGAAAUCUCCAAGCCUAACUUGGAAACUGCAUUGGAUACUAUCCGGCUAGAGGAAUGGAGGGGAGACUGGAAUACUUGGUGUAGCAGUGAAAUGCGUAGAUAUCAAGUGGAACACCAGUGGCGAAGGCGAGUCUCUGGACAUUUCCUGACGCUGAGGCACGAAAGCCAGGGGAGCAAACGGG
This 253-nucleotide ribosomal RNA is filed under the name uncultured bacterium. RNAcentral's name for it is "partial 16S ribosomal RNA". It matches the Rfam family "Bacterial small subunit ribosomal RNA", at positions 524 to 776 of the family's 1533-position model. The record is from RNAcentral.